Molecule: long non-coding RNA, 209 nt
Filed under: Elaeis guineensis (African oil palm)
Lineage: Eukaryota; Viridiplantae; Streptophyta; Magnoliopsida; Arecales; Arecaceae
Description: long non-coding RNA (EGUI_LNC079456)
Source: RNAcentral
GGAGACAAUAGCAAAGGAAAGAUCAUCGGUAUAGGCAAUAUUGAUAUCACUCCCUCUAAGUAUAUUAAAAAUAUUUUAUUAGUAGAUAGUUUGAAACAUAAUCUAUUAAGCAUUAGACAAUUUUGUGACAAAGGGUACAAAAUUAUUUUUGAAUCUUCGUUAUGCAUAGUAACUGUCCCAAUGAUGAAGAUAUUAAAUUUGUUGGGCAU